RNAcentral lists this ribosomal RNA (496 nucleotides) under uncultured bacterium. RNAcentral's name for it is "bacterial SSU rRNA". It matches the Rfam family "Bacterial small subunit ribosomal RNA", at positions 26 to 518 of the family's 1533-position model. The record is from RNAcentral.
CAAGGACGAACGCUGGCGGCGUGCCUAACACAUGCAAGUCGAACGGAACUAUUUGACUGAUUCCUCGGGAUGAAGAAUUUUAGUUAGUGGCGGACGGGUGAGUAACGCGUGAGUAACCUGCCUCUGAGAGGGGAAUAACGUUCUGAAAAGAACGCUAAUACCGCAUAACACAUAUUUGCCGCAUGACAGAUAUGUCAAAGAUUUUUGUCGCUCGGAGAUGGACUCGCGUCCGAUUAGUUAGUUGGUGAGGUAACGGCUCACCAAGACCGCGAUCGGUAGCCGGACUGAGAGGUUGAACGGCCACAUUGGGACUGAGACACGGCCCAGACUCCUACGGGAGGCAGCAGUGGGGGAUAUUGCGCAAUGGGGGCAACCCUGAACCGCAGCAACGCCGCGUGAAGGAUGAAGGUUUUCGGAUUGUAAACUUCUUUUAUCAGGGACGAAAUUUGACGGUACCUGAUGAAUAAGCUCCGGCUAACUACGUGCCAGCAGCCGC